UACGAAGGGGGCUAGCGUUGCUCGGAAUCACUGGGCGUAAAGCGCACGUAGGCGGAUUUUUAAGUCAGGGGUGAAAUCCUGGAGCUCAACUCCAGAACUGCCUUUGAUACUGGGAAUCUCGAGUCCGGAAGAGGUGAGUGGAAUUCUUAGUGUAGAGGUGAAAUUCGUAGAUAUUAGGAAGAACACCAGUGGCGAAGGCGGCUCACUGGUCCGGUACUGACGCUGAGGUGCGAAAGCGUGGGGAGCAAACAGG
This 253-nucleotide ribosomal RNA is filed under the name uncultured bacterium. RNAcentral describes it as "partial 16S ribosomal RNA". It matches the Rfam family "Bacterial small subunit ribosomal RNA", at positions 524 to 776 of the family's 1533-position model. The record is from RNAcentral.